GACGAACGCUGGCGGCGUGCUUAACACAUGCCAGUCGAACGGAAAGGCCUCUUUCGGGGGGUACUCGAGUGGCGAACGGGUGAGUAACACGUGAGUAACCUGCCCUUUACUUUGGGAUAACUUCAGGAAACUGGGGCUAAUACCGGAUAGGAGCUCCUGCUGCAUGGUGGGGGUUGGAAAGUUUCGGGGGUUGGGGAUGGACUCGCGGCUUAUCAGCUUGUUUGUGGGGGAGUGGCUUACCAAGGCUUUGUCGGGUAGCCGGGCCGAGAGGGUGACCGGGCCCAGUGGGACUGGGAGAAGGCCCAGACGCCUACGGGGGGCAGCCAGGGGGAAUAUUGCAAGAUGGGUGGGAGCCGGAUGCAGCAACCGCGGGGGGGGGAAGACGGCCUUGGGGUUGUAAACCGCGUUCGCUCAUGACGAAGCUUUGUGUGACGGUAGUGGGUAAAGAAGCACCGGCUAACUACGUG
This 467-nucleotide ribosomal RNA is filed under the name uncultured bacterium. RNAcentral describes it as "partial 16S ribosomal RNA". It matches the Rfam family "Bacterial small subunit ribosomal RNA", at positions 28 to 507 of the family's 1533-position model. The record is from RNAcentral.